Molecule: ribosomal RNA, 433 nt
Filed under: uncultured bacterium
Lineage: Bacteria
Description: partial 16S ribosomal RNA
Rfam family: Bacterial small subunit ribosomal RNA
Source: RNAcentral
AACGAACGCUGGCGGCAUGCCUAACACAUGCAAGUCGAACGAGACCUUCGGGUCUAGUGGCGCACGGGUGCGUAACGCGUGGGAACCUGCCCUUGGGUUCGGAAUAACUCCCCGAAAGGGGUGCUAAUACCGGAUAAUGUCUUCGGACCAAAGAUUUAUCGCCUUUGGAUGGGCCCGCGUUGGAUUAGCUAGUCGGUAGGGUAAAAGCCUACCAAGGCGACGAUCCAUAGCUGGUCUGAGAGGAUGAUCAGCCACACUGGGACUGAGACACGGCCCAGACUCCUACGGGAGGCAGCAGUGGGGAAUAUUGGACAAUGGGCGAAAGCCUGAUCCAGCAAUGCCGCGUGAGUGAUGAAGGCCUUAGGGUUGUAAAGCUCUUUUACCCGGGAUGAUAAUGACAGUACCGGGAGAAUAAGCUCCGGCUAACUCCGUG